GUAGGUGAACCUGCGGAAGGAUCAUUAACACUAAUAAAAAAACUUUUUAUCCUUUUAUCACUUGAACCCCCGGAGUGGGACUGGAAGAAAGGAAAGGAAAAGAGGAGGGACUCAUCUCUUAACUGAGGAGGGACCCACUUCCUUUUCUGACUUUCGACUGGACUCACUCUGUCUGUUUUGUGAACAACCUGUGUAAAACUAUCUCUCUCUCAUUAUUAUUACAAAUAACAAACCCGGUUGGUGUCGCUGUUUGAGGCAACUCAAGUGGUGACAGUGACUGAGUUUUUUAUUUAUAAACCCGUUAAACCCAAAAAAAACCCAAACCACUUGUGUGUGUUUACUCACACCCAAGUAGUUUGUACCCACAAAAAAAAAACAAAAAAAAACAAAUAUAUAAAAAAAACAAACAUUAGAGUACAACUCUUAACAAUGGAUAUCUUGGUUCUC
RNAcentral lists this unclassified non-coding RNA (447 nucleotides) under rhizosphere metagenome. RNAcentral describes it as "partial ribosomal RNA internal transcribed spacer region". The record is from RNAcentral.